RNAcentral lists this ribosomal RNA (443 nucleotides) under uncultured bacterium. Its description in RNAcentral is "partial 16S ribosomal RNA". It matches the Rfam family "Bacterial small subunit ribosomal RNA", at positions 338 to 795 of the family's 1533-position model. The record is from RNAcentral.
CCUACGGGUGACAGCAGUGGGGGAUAUUGGGCAAUGGGCGCAAGCCUGACCCAGCGACGCCGCGUGAGGGAAGAAGGCUUUCGGUAUGUAAAGCUCUUUUAGCAGGGAAGAAGGAAGUGACGGUACCUGAGUAAGAAGCCACGGCUAACUACGUGCCAGCAGCCGCGGUAAUACGUAGGGGGCAAGCGUUAUCCGGAUUUACUGGGUGUAAAGGGAGAGUAGGCGGGGAUGCAAGUCAGAUGUGAAAGGCGGGGGCCCACCCCCCGGACUGCUCUUGAAACUGUGUAACUGGAGUGCAGGAGAGGCAGGCGGAAUUCCGAGUGUAGCGGUGAAAUGCGUAGAUAUUAGGAGGAACACCAGUGGCGAAGGCGGUCUGCUGGACUGCAACUGACGCUGAGGCGCGAAAGCGUGGGGAGCAAACAGGAUUAGAUACCCUGGUAGUC